UGGGGAAUUUUGGACAAUGGGCGAAAGCCUGAUCCAGCAAUGCCGCGUGUGUGAAGAAGGCCUUCGGGUUGUAAAGCACUUUUGUCCGGAAAGAAAUCCUUGGCUCUAAUACAGUCGGGGGAUGACGGUACCGGAAGAAUAAGCACCGGCUAACUACGUGCCAGCAGCCGCGGUAAUACGUAGGGUGCAAGCGUUAAUCGGAAUUACUGGGCGUAAAGCGUGCGCAGGCGGUUUGCUAAGACCGAUGUGAAAUCCCCGGGCUCAACCUGGGAACUGCAUUGGUGACUGGCAGGCUAGAGUAUGGCAGAGGGGGGUAGAAUUCCACGUGUAGCAGUGAAAUGCGUAGAGAUGUGGAGGAAUACCGAUGGCGAAGGCAGCCCCCUGGGCCAAUACUGAUGCUCAUGCACGAAAGCGUGGGGAGCAAACAGGAUUAGAUACCCUGGUAGUCCACGCCCUAAAACGAUGUCAACUAGUUGUUGGGGAUUCAUUUUCCUUAGUAACGUAGCUAAACGCGUGAAGUUGACCGCCUGGGGAGUACGGUCGCAAGAUUAAAAACUCAAAUGAAUUGACGGGGUCAUAGCUGUUUCCU
This 589-nucleotide ribosomal RNA is filed under the name uncultured bacterium. Its description in RNAcentral is "partial 16S ribosomal RNA". It matches the Rfam family "Bacterial small subunit ribosomal RNA", at positions 355 to 1375 of the family's 1533-position model. The record is from RNAcentral.